RNAcentral lists this unclassified non-coding RNA (339 nucleotides) under soil metagenome. RNAcentral's name for it is "partial contains 5.8S ribosomal RNA, internal transcribed spacer 2, and large subunit ribosomal RNA". The stretch from base 1 to 120 matches the Rfam family "5.8S ribosomal RNA", at positions 35 to 154 of the family's 154-position model. The record is from RNAcentral.
GAUGAAGAACGUAGCGAAAUGCGAUAAGUAAUGCGAAUUGCAGAAUUCCGUGAGUCAUCGAAUCUUUGAACGCACAUUGCGCCCUCUAGUAUUCCGGAGGGCAUGCCUGUCUGAGCGUCAUUGUCAACCCUCAAGCUCAGCUUGCUGUUGGGUCCCCGUCGUUGCUUUAACGGCGGACCCGAAAGGUAAUGGCAGAGUCCGUGAGACCCUAGACGCAGCGAGCUUCUAGCACGCGUCUGGACGUUUUUCGGGCUCGGUCUUAACUAGAUGAUAACUUCCGAUUGACCUCAGAUCAGGUAGGGAUACCCGCUGAACUUAAGCAUAUCAAUAAGCGGAGGA